This 301-nucleotide ribosomal RNA is filed under the name uncultured bacterium. RNAcentral describes it as "partial 16S ribosomal RNA". It matches the Rfam family "Bacterial small subunit ribosomal RNA", at positions 509 to 807 of the family's 1533-position model. The record is from RNAcentral.
CAGUCGCCGCGGUAAAACGAAGGGUGCAAGCGUUAAUCGGAAUUACUGGGCGUAAAGCGUGUGUAGGCGGUGAGUUAAGUCUGCUGUGAAAUCCCCGGGCUCAACCUGGGAAUGGCAGUGGAUACUGGCUCGCUAGAGUGUGUCAGAGGAUGGUGGAAUUCCCGGUGUAGCGGUGAAAUGCGUAGAGAUCGGGAGGAACAUCAGUGGCGAAGGCGGCCAUCUGGGACAACACUGACGCUGAGGCACGAAAGCGUGGGGAGCAAACAGGAUUAGAUACCCGCGUAGUCCCUGUCUCUUAUAC